CUGGUUGAUCCUGCCAAUAUUCAUAUGCUUGUCUCAAAAAUUAAGUCAUGCAUGUCUCAAUGCAUGCCGAAUUAAAAUGAAAUCGCGAAUGGCUCAUUAAAUCAGUUAUGGUUCAUUAGAUUGUACCCAUUUACUUAAUGGAUGGAACUGUGAUAAUUCUAAAGCUAAUAAUGCAAAAUAGAGUCCCGACCAGCGAGAGAACGGACGUUUUUAUUAGAUCAAAUCGGUGGCAGGUGGUUGUCCCCCGUUUACCGUUUAUUUUGGUGAUUCUGAAUAACUUUGUGCUGAUCGCACGGUCUUAGCAUCGGCGACGCAUCUUUCAAAUGUUUGCCUUAUCAACUGUCGAUGGUAGGUUUUGCGCCUACCAUGUUGUAACGGGUAACGGGGAAUCAGGGUUCGAUUCCGGAGAAGGAGCCUGAGAAACGGCAUCCAAGGAAGGCAGCAGGCCCGCAAAUUACUCACUCCCGGCACGGGGAGGUAGUGACGAAAAAUAACGAUACGGGUCUCAUCUAUGAAUUUAUUCCUUUUUUAUUUCUAAUUUGAAUAAUUUUCAGAUUAUAUAAC
Molecule: non-coding RNA, 564 nt
Filed under: Acromyrmex echinatior (Panamanian leafcutter ant)
Lineage: Eukaryota; Metazoa; Arthropoda; Insecta; Hymenoptera; Formicidae
Description: Eukaryotic small subunit ribosomal RNA
Rfam family: Eukaryotic small subunit ribosomal RNA
Source: Rfam by way of RNAcentral